GUCCAAUCUAAAUAUUUAUUUUUUUUAAAGAAAAAAAUGCCCGUUUGAAGUGUGAAGUAGCCUGGACUGGCCUGGUUCAAAUGUGAGAGAAAAACAGUUCCUAUCCAGUUUGGGCCUAGGAAGAUCACAUUCCUGAACCAGAUCGUGGCUGGGUGUAAUUGUUGUUACCUGGACAACAUGCAUGAAAAUAUUAUGGAAUUAUGUUGAUGAGGGUGGAAUUCUGUUAGUGAAUUUAUUUUUAAACUUGUAGGAAAAUGCUUUUCUUACUAAUAGUUGUUGCCUAAUUCCCGAGUGUGGCCUCCAGCUUUCUCCCUCUCCGUUUAAUACUUGAGCAAAUGAACU
RNAcentral lists this unclassified non-coding RNA (342 nucleotides) under Hevea brasiliensis (rubber tree). Lineage: Eukaryota; Viridiplantae; Streptophyta; Magnoliopsida; Malpighiales; Euphorbiaceae. The record is from RNAcentral.